UCGUGUCGUGAGAUGUUGGGUUAAGUCCCGCAACGAGCGCAACCCUGCCUCUAGUUGCCAGCAUUCGGUUGGGCACUCUAGAGGGACUGCCGGCGACAAGUCGGAGGAAGGUGGGAUGACGUCAAAUCAUCAUGCCCCUUAUGACCUGGGCUACACACGUGCUACAAUGGGCGGUACAAAGGGCUGCGAACCCGCGAGGGGGAGCGAAUCCCAAAAAGCCGACUCUCAGUUCGGAUUGCAGGCUGCAACUCGCCUGCAUGAAGCCGGAAUCGCUAGUAAUCGCGGAUCAGCAUGCCGCGGUGAAUACGUUCCCGGGCCUU
This 320-nucleotide ribosomal RNA is filed under the name uncultured Geobacillus sp. Its description in RNAcentral is "bacterial SSU rRNA". It matches the Rfam family "Bacterial small subunit ribosomal RNA", at positions 1060 to 1382 of the family's 1533-position model. Lineage: Bacteria; Bacillati; Bacillota; Bacilli; Caryophanales; Anoxybacillaceae. The record is from RNAcentral.